RNAcentral lists this ribosomal RNA (456 nucleotides) under uncultured bacterium. RNAcentral's name for it is "bacterial SSU rRNA". It matches the Rfam family "Bacterial small subunit ribosomal RNA", at positions 28 to 507 of the family's 1533-position model. The record is from RNAcentral.
GAUGAACGUUGGCGGUGUGCCUAAUACAUGCAAGUCGAACGGAGUUAAUAGCAAUAUUGACUUAGUGGCGAACGGGUGAGUAACGCGUUGGUGAUCUGCCUUGAAGUGUGGAAUAACGCUCCGAAAGGAGCGCUAAUACCGCAUGUGCUCUCAAUUUUUAGAAACUUGAGAGGAAAGGAUUUAUUCGCUUCGAGAGGAGCCUGCGUCCCAUCAGCUGGUUGGUAGGGUAAAGGCCUACCAAGGCAAUGACGGUAGGGACCUGAGAGGGUGGCCCCCCAAAUGGAACUGAAACACGGUCCAUACACCUACGGGUGCAGCAGUAGGGAAUAUUAGAAAUGGACGAAAGUCUGAUCUAGCAACACCGCGUGUGCGAAAGAAGGCCUUCGGGUCGUAAAGCACUUUUUGGAAGGAAUAGGAAGGAAUGUACUUCCAGAAUAAGUCUCGGCUAACUACGUG